RNAcentral lists this ribosomal RNA (459 nucleotides) under Triticum aestivum (bread wheat). RNAcentral's name for it is "partial small subunit ribosomal RNA". Lineage: Eukaryota; Viridiplantae; Streptophyta; Magnoliopsida; Poales; Poaceae. The record is from RNAcentral.
AUGAACAAAGCGCGCGGCUUUCCUGGCAUGCUUGGCUCAAUAGAUUGCAUGCAUUGGAGUUGGAAGAAUUGUCCAAAGGCAUGGCAUGGGCAAUUCCACGGCCGUAAAAAGGGUUCCACUAUAAUCCUUGAAGCGGUGGCCGAUCAGGAGACUUGGAUUUGGCAUGCAUUCUUUGGAAUGCCUGGAUCUUUGAAUGAUAUCAAUGUUGUCAACCGGUCACCACUGAUGAAUAAGAUUGCAAACGGUGAGUUGCCACCUGUGCAGUUUGUAGCAAAUGGCCGUAUGUACAACUAUGGCUAUUAUCUAGCGGAUGGCAUCUAUCCAAAGUGGCAAACCUUCGUGAAGCCGUUGAAAAAACCGGAAGGUAAGAAAAAUCUUGAUUUCCACAAUGCUCAGGCGGCGGCUAGAAAAGAUGUGGAGAGAGCAUUUGGGAUUUCGCAAGCCCAAUUUGCUAUGUGA